Molecule: non-coding RNA, 380 nt
Filed under: Pongo abelii (Sumatran orangutan)
Lineage: Eukaryota; Metazoa; Chordata; Mammalia; Primates; Hominidae
Source: RNAcentral
UGAAGCUGGGAGUGAGGUUCCUCAGAAUGCCCUUCUCAGCACGAAUCCAGUUGAGUCUGAAGACAAGGAGGAAGACGCCACUGAUCCCACAUGUCAAGGGCCUGUCUGGCUGAAAAAUCACAAGAAAUGCUACACAAGUUACACAAUGUGACCUUCACCCAUUAUCUUCAUGUUCCUGGAAUCUGUGAUACAAAGAACCAUCUAUAGCCAGUCAAUAGCUUACGUUAUUUUAAGGAACCAAUGUGGGAACUGCCCCUUCUUUUUUUCUUUCAAACCCACUUGUAACUGCUGCUAACUGGAGCAUAUGUUCAGAGCCACCUGAAUCUACGUCCCCCAGGAUGCAGUCCUCAAACGUGGCCCAAAUAAACCCUCCACGUGUA